Molecule: long non-coding RNA, 533 nt
Filed under: Setaria viridis
Lineage: Eukaryota; Viridiplantae; Streptophyta; Magnoliopsida; Poales; Poaceae
Description: long non-coding RNA (SVIR_LNC005105)
Source: RNAcentral
AAGUGUUGAUUUUUGAUGUUUCGAUAGUUAUUUUUCAAUGUUGCGACGGAGCGUCCGAUAAAACAAAAUUAUCGGACGUCCGGGCGCUAGCACUUCCCUAAAUUUUUUGCUAGCUUCAUUCAGUACCUUUUCCAUGCAAUGCAAGGAAGGAGAGAGAAUUAGUUUUUCGGAUCAUGCAUGUGAAAGUACGUGUUCGCUUAGCCUUGUUGCAGCACUGAUGCAAGGAGAUCGAAGGAACUUAAUUCUUCUUCUCCAGGAGCAAGCAGGAGGCUGCAGCAGGAACUUAACAUCCCAAGAGCUGAGGCAUCCAUCCAUGUCCCUGGCGUCGAUGAGGCAUCAUCUAUCGAUCCAUCAGUCCAACAAAAAAAAAACGCAAGGAACCGAUGCCUGCGAUUAGAUUCCAACCCGGGAUGGGAAGGCAGGCGUAGGUGCAGCCCACGUACACCGCUCCCGUUUCGUCGAUGCUUUAGCUUUAUUACGGAAGCAUAUCCUUCCCAUCUCAUCUGUAAUAAUCUGCUCUCUCCCACACCUCC